AUCUGUUCUUAUCAGUUUAAUAUCUGAUAUGUCCUCUACACGGGGACAAUAUAUAUGAAAUGCGUUUUUGGCAUCUGGAGCUGUUAAACGGGGCUUGCUCCGUUCACUCCACGCAUUGACCCGGUAUUGCAGUAUCGCUGGGAACGGUGC
Molecule: small nuclear RNA, 150 nt
Filed under: Mola mola (ocean sunfish)
Lineage: Eukaryota; Metazoa; Chordata; Actinopteri; Tetraodontiformes; Molidae
Description: U2 spliceosomal RNA (ENSMMOG00000019335.1)
Rfam family: U2 spliceosomal RNA
About the family: U2 is a small nuclear RNA (snRNA) component of the spliceosome (involved in pre-mRNA splicing). Complementary binding between U2 snRNA (in an area lying towards the 5' end but 3' to hairpin I) and the branchpoint sequence (BPS) of the intron results the bulging out of an unpaired adenosine, on the BPS, which initiates a nucleophilic attack at the intronic 5' splice site, thus starting the first of two transesterification reactions that mediate splicing.
Source: RNAcentral